Molecule: ribosomal RNA, 254 nt
Filed under: uncultured bacterium
Lineage: Bacteria
Description: partial 16S ribosomal RNA
Rfam family: Bacterial small subunit ribosomal RNA
Source: RNAcentral
CACGUAGGGCGCGAGCGUUGUCCGGAAUUAUUGGGCGUAAAGAGCUCGUAGGCGGCUUGUUGCGUCGACUGUGAAAACCUGCGGCUCAACCGUGUGGUCUGCAGUCGAUACGGGCAGGCUGGAGUUCGGUAGGGGAGACUGGAAUUCCUGGUGUAGCGGUGAAAUGCGCAGAUAUCAGGAGGAACACCGGUGGCGAAGGCGGGUCGCUGGGCCGAUACUGACGCUGAGGAGCGAAAGCGUGGGGAGCGAACAGG